Molecule: transfer RNA, 74 nt
Filed under: Marmota monax (woodchuck)
Lineage: Eukaryota; Metazoa; Chordata; Mammalia; Rodentia; Sciuridae
Description: tRNA.Ala
Source: RNAcentral
CUAGGGGUAUGGCUCAGUUGGUAGAGGGCUUGCCUUGCAUGUGCUACACCCUGGGUUCAAUCCCCAGCCCUACA